CGUUUCCUACGGGAGGCAGCAGUGAGGAAUAUUGGUCAAUGGGCGAGAGCCUGAACCAGCCAAGUCGCGUGAGGGAAGACGGUCCUAUGGAUUGUAAACCUCUUUUGCCGGGGAUCAAAAAGCGGUACGUGUACCGCAUCGAGAGUACCCGGAGAAAAAGCAUCGGCUAACUCCGUGCCAGCAGCCGCGGUAAUACGGAGGAUGCGAGCGUUCUCCGGAUUUAUUGGGUUUAAAGGGUGCGCAGGCGGCGCGUUAAGUCAGCGGUAAAAUUUCGGGGCUCAACCCCUACGAGCCUUUGAAACUGG
Molecule: ribosomal RNA, 305 nt
Filed under: uncultured bacterium
Lineage: Bacteria
Description: bacterial SSU rRNA
Rfam family: Bacterial small subunit ribosomal RNA
Source: RNAcentral